UACAGAGGUCCCAAGCGUUGUUCGGAUUCACUGGGCGUAAAGGGUGCGUAGGUGGCCAGGUAAGUCUGAUGUGAAAUCUCGGAGCUCAACUCCGAAACUGCAUUGGAUACUAUCUGGCUCGAGUCCGGAAGAGGCGAGUGGAAUUCCUGGUGUAGCGGUGAAAUGCGCAGAUAUCAGGAGGAACACCGGUGGCGAAGGCGGGUCUCUGGGCCGAUACUGACGCUGAGGAGCGAAAGCGUGGGGAGCGAACAGG
Molecule: ribosomal RNA, 253 nt
Filed under: uncultured bacterium
Lineage: Bacteria
Description: partial 16S ribosomal RNA
Rfam family: Bacterial small subunit ribosomal RNA
Source: RNAcentral